This 25-nucleotide unclassified non-coding RNA is filed under the name Mus musculus (house mouse). Its description in RNAcentral is "oocyte_clustered_small_RNA6408". Lineage: Eukaryota; Metazoa; Chordata; Mammalia; Rodentia; Muridae. The record is from RNAcentral.
UUCUGAAUUGGUGGAGGACUUGCUG